CGUGUCGUGAGAUGUUGGGUUAAGUCCCGCAACGAGCGCAACCCUUGUCUUAUGUUGCCAGCACGUAAUGGUGGGGACUCGUAAGAGACUGCCGGGGUCAACUCGGAGGAAGGUGGGGACGACGUCAAGUCAUCAUGCCCCUUAUGUCCAGGGCUUCACACAUGCUACAAUGGUCGGUACAGAGGGCUGCGAUACCGUGAGGUGGAGCGAAUCCCUUAAAGCCGGUCUCAGUUCGGAUCGGGGUCUGCAACUCGACCCCGUGAAGUCGGAGUCGCUAGUAAUCGCAGAUCAGCAACGCUGCGGUGAAUACGUUCCCGGGCCUU
Molecule: ribosomal RNA, 323 nt
Filed under: uncultured bacterium
Lineage: Bacteria
Description: bacterial SSU rRNA
Rfam family: Bacterial small subunit ribosomal RNA
Source: RNAcentral